This 497-nucleotide ribosomal RNA is filed under the name uncultured bacterium. RNAcentral describes it as "partial 16S ribosomal RNA". It matches the Rfam family "Bacterial small subunit ribosomal RNA", at positions 28 to 507 of the family's 1533-position model. The record is from RNAcentral.
GAUGAACGCUGGCGGCGUGCCUAAUACAUGCAAGUCGAGCGAACGGACGAGAAGCUUGCUUCUCUGAUGUUAGCGGCGGACGGGUGAGUAACACGUGGAUAACCUACCUAUAAGACUGGGAUAACUUCGGGAAACCGGAGCUAAUACCGGAUAAUAUUUUGAACCGCAUGGUUCAAAAGUGAAAGACGGUCUUGCUGUCACUUAUAGAUGGAUCCGCGCUGCAUUAGCUAGUUGGUAAGGUAACGGCUUACCAAGGCAACGAUGCAUAGCCGACCUGAGAGGGUGAACGGCCACACUGGAACUGAGACACGGUCCAGACUCCUACGGGAGGCAGCAGUAGGGAAUCUUCCGCAAUGGGCGAAAGCCUGACGGAGCAACGCCGCGUGAGUGAUGAAGGUCUUCGGAUCGUAAAACUCUGUUAUUAGGGAAGAACAUAUGUGUAAGUAACUGUGCACAUCUUGACGGUACCUAAUCAGAAAGCCACGGCUAACUACGUG